UCCAGACUCCUACGGGAGGCAGCAAUGAGGAAUAUUGGUCAAUGGUCGGGAGACUGAACCAGCCAAGCCGCGUGAGGGAUGAAGGUACAGAGUAUCGUAAACCUCUUUUGUCAUGGAACAAAGGCGGGGACGUGUCCCCGGAUGAGUGUACCUGAAGAAAAAGCAUCGGCUAACUCCGUGCCAGCAGCCGCGGUAAUACGGAGGAUGCGAGCGUUAUCCGGAUUUAUUGGGUUUAAAGGGUGCGUAGGCGGACUGUUAAGCCAGGGGAAAAGGCCGGGGCCCCACCCCGGGCGAGCCGUUGAAACUGGCUGUCUUGAGAUGUCGAGAGGUAUGCGGAAUGCGCAGUGUAGCGGUGAAAUGCUUAGAUAUUGCGCAGAACUCCGAUUGCGAAGGCAGCAUACCGGCGGCGAUCUGACGCUGAGGCACGAAAGCGUGGGUAUCGAACAGGAUUAGAUACCCGAGUA
RNAcentral lists this ribosomal RNA (464 nucleotides) under uncultured bacterium. RNAcentral's name for it is "bacterial SSU rRNA". It matches the Rfam family "Bacterial small subunit ribosomal RNA", at positions 330 to 792 of the family's 1533-position model. The record is from RNAcentral.